RNAcentral lists this RNase P RNA (402 nucleotides) under Streptomyces morookaense. RNAcentral's name for it is "Streptomyces morookaensis Bacterial RNase P class A". It matches the Rfam family "Bacterial RNase P class A". Rfam says of the family: Ribonuclease P (RNase P) is a ubiquitous endoribonuclease, found in archaea, bacteria and eukarya as well as chloroplasts and mitochondria. Its best characterised activity is the generation of mature 5'-ends of tRNAs by cleaving the 5'-leader elements of precursor-tRNAs. Cellular RNase Ps are ribonucleoproteins. Lineage: Bacteria; Bacillati; Actinomycetota; Actinomycetes; Kitasatosporales; Streptomycetaceae. The record is from Rfam by way of RNAcentral. RNAcentral also lists the same sequence under 1 other name.
CGAGCCGGCCGGGCGGCCGCGUGGGAUCGUUUUCGGUCCCCCGAGGAACGUCCGGGCUCCACACGGCAGGGUGGUGGGUAACGCCCACCCGGGGUGACCCGCGGGACAGUGCCACAGAAAACAGACCGCCGGAGGCCGCAAGGCGUCCGGUAAGGGUGAAACGGUGGUGUAAGAGACCACCAGCGACCGGGGUGACCCGGCCGGCUAGGUAAACCCCACCCGGAGCAAGGUCAAGAGGGGACACCCCGGUGUCCCUGCGCGGACGAUCGAGGGCUGCCCGCCCGAGUCCGCGGGUAGACCGCACGAGCCUGCCGGCAACGGCAGGCCUAGAUGGAUGGCCGCCUCCCCGAGGGCCGCAAGGCCCCCGGGAGACAGAACCCGGCGUAUAGGUCGACUCGUCCG